This 252-nucleotide ribosomal RNA is filed under the name uncultured bacterium. RNAcentral describes it as "partial 16S ribosomal RNA". It matches the Rfam family "Bacterial small subunit ribosomal RNA", at positions 524 to 776 of the family's 1533-position model. The record is from RNAcentral.
UGCGGAGGAUGCGAGCGUUAUCCGGAUUUAUUGGGUUUAAAGGGUGCGUAGGCGGGCUUUUAAGUCAGCGGUAAAAAUUCGGGGCUCAACCCCGUCCGGCCGUUGAAACUGGGGGCCUUGAGUGGGCGAGAAGAAGGCGGAAUGCGUGGUGUAGCGGUGAAAUGCAUAGAUAUCACGCGGAACCCCGAUUGCGAAGGCAGCCUUCCGGCGCCCUACUGACGCUGAGGCACGAAAGUGCGGGGAUCGAGCAGG